GACGAACGCUGGCGGCGUGCUUAACACAUGCAAGUCGAACGGAAAGGCCCUGCUUUUGUGGGGUGCUCGAGUGGCGAACGGGUGAGUAACACGUGAGUAACCUGCCCUUGACUUUGGGAUAACUUCAGGAAACUGGGGCUAAUACCGGAUAGGAGCUCCUGCUGCAUGGUGGGGGUUGGAAAGUUUCGGCGGUUGGGGAUGGACUCGCGGCUUAUCAGCUUGUUGGUGGGGUAGUGGCUUACCAAGGCUUUGACGGGUAGCCGGCCUGAGAGGGUGACCGGCCACAUGGGGACUGAGAUACGGCACAGACUCUCACGGGAGGCAGCGGGGGGGAGUAGUGGACGAUGGGCGGAAGCCUGAUGCAGCGACGCCGCGGGCGGGAGGACGGCGUUCGGGUAGGGGACCGCGUUCGCCUGUGACGAAGCGUGGGUGACGGUAAUGGGGAGAGAAGCAACGGCUAACUGCGU
This 467-nucleotide ribosomal RNA is filed under the name uncultured bacterium. Its description in RNAcentral is "partial 16S ribosomal RNA". It matches the Rfam family "Bacterial small subunit ribosomal RNA", at positions 28 to 506 of the family's 1533-position model. The record is from RNAcentral.